GCGUACGGGUGCGGAACACGUGUGCAACUGUCUUUAUCUGGGGGAUAGCCUUUCGAAAGGAAGAUUAAUACCCCAUAAUAUGUUGAAUGGCAUCAUUCGACAUUGAAAACUCCGGUGGAUAGAGAUGGGCACGCGCAAGAUUAGAUAGUUGGUGAGGUAACGGCUCACCAAGUCUACGAUCUUUAGGGGCCUGAGAGGGUGAUCCCCCAACUGGUACUGAGACACGGACCAGACUCCUACGGGAGGCAGCAGUGAGGAUAUUGGACCAAUGGGUGAGAGCCUGAUCCAGGCAUCCCGCGUGACAGGACGAUGCCCUAUGGGUUGUAAACUUCUUAUGUAUAGGGAUCAAACCUAACACUCGGUGCAGGGUAGCUGAAGGUACUAUACGACUAAGCACCGGCUAACUCCAGUGCCAGCAAGCCUGCAGGUACAUACGGAGGGUGCAAAGACGUUAUACCGGAUUCUAUCGGGUUAAACGGGCCCAGUAGGCAGGAUACUUGGUAAAAGUCAGUAGGUGAAAUCUCAACAAGAGCAUUAACUUGUGCAAACUUGGCCAUUGGAUACUUGCAAGGUACUUUGAAGUUAGUAAGGCGAAGCUAA
This 600-nucleotide ribosomal RNA is filed under the name uncultured bacterium. RNAcentral's name for it is "bacterial SSU rRNA". The stretch from base 1 to 446 matches the Rfam family "Bacterial small subunit ribosomal RNA", at positions 98 to 537 of the family's 1533-position model. The record is from RNAcentral.